CAGUCGCCACGGUAAUACGGAGGAUCCAAGCGUUAUCCGGAUUUAUUGGGUUUAAAGGGUGCGUAGGCGGCCUAUUAAGUCAGGGGUGAAAGACGGUAGCUUAACUAUCGCAGUGCCUUUGAUACUGAUGGGCUUGAAUACACUUGAGGUAGGCGGAAUGUGACAAGUAGCGGUGAAAUGCAUAGAUAUGUCACAGAACACCAAUUGCGAAGGCAGCUUACUAAAGAGUCAUUGACGCUGAGGCACGAAAGCGUGGGGAUCAAACAGGAUUAGAUACCCCCGUAGUCCCUGUCUCUUAUAC
RNAcentral lists this ribosomal RNA (301 nucleotides) under uncultured bacterium. RNAcentral's name for it is "partial 16S ribosomal RNA". It matches the Rfam family "Bacterial small subunit ribosomal RNA", at positions 509 to 807 of the family's 1533-position model. The record is from RNAcentral.